UGGGGAAUUUUGGACAAUGGGCGAAAGCCUGACGCAGCCAUGCCGCGUGAAUGAUGAAGGUCUUAGGAUUGUAAAAUUCUUUCACCGGGGACGAUAAUGACGGUACCCGGAGAAGAAGCCCCGGCUAACUUCGUGCCAGCAGCCGCGGUAAUACGAAGGGGGCUAGCGUUGCUCGGAAUUACUGGGCGUAAAGGGAGCGUAGGCGGACAUUUAAGUCAGGGGUGAAAUCCAGGGGCUCAACCUCGGAAUUGCCUUUGAUACUGGGUGUCUUGAGAGUGAUAGAGGGAUGUGGAACUCCGAGUGUAGAGGUGAAAUUCGUAGAUAUUCGUGAGAACACCAGUGUCGAGGGCGACAUACUGGCUCAUUACUGUCGCUGAGGCUCGAAAGCGUGUGGAGCAAACA
This 402-nucleotide ribosomal RNA is filed under the name uncultured bacterium. RNAcentral describes it as "bacterial SSU rRNA". It matches the Rfam family "Bacterial small subunit ribosomal RNA", at positions 355 to 774 of the family's 1533-position model. The record is from RNAcentral.